AUACCUUCAAGAAUUAAAUAUUUAUUAAAAUAUCAGUAUACUGUUGUUUCUAAUAAAAUUAUCAAAAGAUUUAAGGUUUGCAAUAAUACCUCUCAAUAGGAUACAUCCAUCUAUAAUGUACCGGUCCACCAACUUUAACAUCUGAAGCUAGGUGAAUAAGCAGAUGUACCAUAAUAAUAAAAAAUCCAGGAGGAAAAAUCUUUUCCAUUUGGCAAAGUGUAAUUGCAAUAUCGGAUUCUAACUGAUCAAGUUCCCGAGGAUCAAUAACUUUAGAACAUAA
RNAcentral lists this long non-coding RNA (280 nucleotides) under Elaeis guineensis (African oil palm). RNAcentral describes it as "long non-coding RNA (EGUI_LNC010191)". Lineage: Eukaryota; Viridiplantae; Streptophyta; Magnoliopsida; Arecales; Arecaceae. The record is from RNAcentral.